UUUUUGGAGCGUUAAGGCUACCGUAGCUGUAAUACCUACUUUGAACUGUGUGGUGCGAGAGACUGGAUUGGGAUAUAUGAUCUCAACACUAGAUGGGAGAAGUUCCUACACACUGGACCUUUAACGUGCCAGCGGCCGCUGCUCGGGUUGCUUGGUCCCUUCACUUUUUUGCCGAGGCACAGCGUUGACAGCCCCGGAGAAGGACAACCGGUUACCGGAGUUUGCUGUUUUCUCAGCGGGGAGUAAAACAGACGGGCCGCUGGCUCUUUCUGCCGAUGGCCAUGCAAGCGGAGUGGGGAGGGGCAGAUGAAGCAUGCGCAGACGCUUAAACCGAUCAUAAUCCGGUUAAGGUGUAUACAUGCUGGGAUACCCCUGUUACUGAAGGAGUUCUCUACCUCUGGUCUUUGCUAGCAUGCUGAGCUAAUGGGGAAUGAUGGUGGCGAGAAGGUUGAAGGUCUUAUGUCAUCUGAGCAGCUCCUCCAUCAACAUCUCCCUUUGUGUCCUCCACCUCACCAUCGCCUUCAUGGAGCUCACCAGGUCAAGCAAACUCAGCAGAAUGGACAAGGAGGCAACGGCCAGCAUCAAGUUGAGCAUUAAGGUCUUCUCAGUCGGUCUGGAGAUGUAGCACUCCACGCCAGAUGUGCAGGGCGCCUCGUAACAAAGGAAGCUCCUAGGAAUGGACAAACCAAAGAGAAAAAACUGGCCUGCACCGAAAACCACUUCCACAAGGAUCCGUAGAAUUACAACCAGGAAGUAAGCGCAGUAGAAGCGCGGCGCUCCCCAUUCUCGUUGCAGUUCGUGAAGUGGAGCUUUAUGCAAAGACACUUCUCUUGAGGAGCUGGAGUUCUCACAGCUGAAAGGUGAACCUCCUCGACUCCUGUCGCAGUAGAACCCUCCAAAAUAGGGAUACAACAAAACUUUAUGCACAACAUAGGUUGCAAACAGCACAUGGGGAAGACAGAGAAGAAUGAGGUGGAAAAGCCAGAGAUGGAAGACGGAUACAGGAGCAAAUACAUCGAAACACACAUUGGAGCAGCCUGGCUGGAUGGUGUUGCAGAUAAAUCUGUCCUGCUCGUCACUGAACAGGGUGAAGCCGGCCAGCAGGAGGACGGGCAGACGGAGAACCAGCAUCAACAUCCACCACGCUUUGCCUGUGAUGGAAAAUAAAAUGAUCAAGUAAUUGACUGCUAGAAUAAAUGAAGAUAAAUGAUCCCAGUGGGGUAAUGGUUACAUCGAAGAAGUAAAUAAUAGGAUAUUUAUAAAAUAAUCAAAUGUACCAAACGGGGCCUAAUGAUGAUUAAACAGCAGAAAAGCAAAGUAAUGCUUGAAAAGGAAAUCUAUUACAGAUAUAAAACAUCCAGAUGAUAACAAAAUUACACAGAGUAAAACCCAAAGAUAGACACAUUUACAAUUCUCCACACUUAGUUGAAGUACAUUGUUGUUAAUGCAUUCCUUAAUACCUCAACCUUGAUCACCACUUGGAUUAAGAAAGGCACAGUUCUUACUGCUUUUGUGAUCUGUUGAAGUUUUCAGCUUUUUACAGUUACUGUUUAUUUGUGUUAACAGGUGUGUAAUAUUCAUAUUUAAAAGAAACAUUGCCAUAGUACAAACACGGCUUAAUUUCUAAUAUUGACUACAAAAGAAGAACGUACCCAUAAAGGAGACAUUGUGACUGAUAGUGAUGAAGAGUAGUUCGCUUGCUCCCAUCGUCCUCAUUGUUCGGCGCUAAGCCUGAUCCCAUAAGAAAACGAGCCAAGACCAAGCCAAGAAAAGCCCCUUCAAAACAAAUCCAAACCAGAGACACUGUCUUAAACUGCUGUCCCCUUCAACACUGCUCCACAACUUCACUGCUGACCCUAACAGCUUGCCACUAAAUACAGUCACGUCCAACGUUUUCUUACCCCUCUGCACUCUUGUCUGUGGAAGCCAGGACCUGUGGAGAGAGCUAUUCUUACCAGGCUGCCAUCAAAGCAUUGUUGGGAUAUCGAGGUAAUGGUCAACCUUACUGGAAGCUGACGUUCAUACGUAGGCCAGCUUGUAAUAGACAGUCAUGAACCUACUGUAUGUGGGACAGCUAAAUGGCACUGAGUCAAUCUCUAAGUCACAUUACAUAAAAAACAAAUAACACAAAACAAUAAGCACUUCUAUCCACUUAGGCUGCAACUGCAAUUUCACUUUACAUAAUCAUGUGCAAUGUGAGUACAUUAUUUUAUUAAAUUAUUUCACUAUUUUACUAUUUACUCUAGUUUUCAACUUGUUACCAUCUAUAAGAAAAGAAAAAAAUGCGGCAAC
Long non-coding RNA from Perca flavescens (yellow perch), 2292 nucleotides. RefSeq lists it as uncharacterized. The transcript has 3 exons. Lineage: Eukaryota; Metazoa; Chordata; Actinopteri; Perciformes; Percidae. The record is from RefSeq and is a predicted model, not a curated record.